CCUACGGGUGGCAGCAGUGAGGAAUAUUGGUCAAUGGACGAGAGUCUGAACCAGCCAAGUAGCGUGAAGGAUGACUGCCCUAUGGGUUGUAAACUUCUUUUAUAUGGGAAUAAAAUGUUCCACGUGUGGGAAUUUGUAUGUACCAUAUGAAUAAGGAUCGGCUAACUCCGUGCCAGCAGCCGCGGUAAUACGGAGGAUGCGAGCGUUAUCCGGAUUUAUUGGGUUUAAAGGGAGCGUAGGUGGUUUGUUAAGUCAGUUGUGAAAGUUUGCGGCUCAAACGUAAAAUUGCAGUUGAAACUGGCAGUCUUGAGUGCAGUAGAGGUAGGCGGAAUGCGUGGUGUAGCGGUGAAAUGCUUAGAUAUCACGAAGAACUCCGAUUGCGAAGGCAGCUCACUGGACUGCAACUGACACUGAGGCACGAAAGUGUGGGGAUCAAACAGGAUUAGAUACCCGAGUAGUC
Molecule: ribosomal RNA, 460 nt
Filed under: uncultured bacterium
Lineage: Bacteria
Description: partial 16S ribosomal RNA
Rfam family: Bacterial small subunit ribosomal RNA
Source: RNAcentral